UACAGAGACUGCAAGCGUUAUUCGGAUUCACUGGGCGUAAAGGGUGCGCAGGCGGUCGCGUGUGUCAGGUGUGAAAUCUCGGGGCUUAACCCCGAAACUGCGCCUGAAACUACGUGACUAGAGCAUUGGAGAGGGUAGCGGAAUUCACGGUGUAGCAGUGAAAUGCGUAGAUAUCGUGAGGAACACCAGAGGCGAAGGCGGCUACCUGGACAAUUGCUGACGCUCAGGCACGAAAGCGUGGGGAGCAAAAGGG
This 253-nucleotide ribosomal RNA is filed under the name uncultured bacterium. RNAcentral describes it as "partial 16S ribosomal RNA". It matches the Rfam family "Bacterial small subunit ribosomal RNA", at positions 524 to 776 of the family's 1533-position model. The record is from RNAcentral.